GACGAACGCUGGCGGCGUGCUUAACACAUGCAAGUCGAACGGAAAGGCCCUGCUUUUGUGGGGUGCUCGAGUGGCGAACGGGUGAGUAACACGUGAGUAACCUGCCCUUGACUUUGGGAUAACUUCAGGAAACUGGGGCUAAUACCGGAUAGGAGCUCCUGCUGCAUGGUGGGGGUUGGAAAGUUUCGGCGGUUGGGGAUGGACUCGCGGCUUAUCAGCUUGUUGGUGGGGUAGUGGCUUACCAAGGCUUGGACGGGUAGCCGGCCUGAGAGGGUGACCGGCCACAUUGGGACUGAGAUACGGCCCAGACUCCUACGGGGGGCAGCAGUGGAGAAUAUUGCACGAUGGGCGGAGGCCGGAUGCAGCAACGCCGCGUGCGGGAUGACGGCCUUCGGGUUGUAAACCGCUUUCGCCUGUGACGAAGCGUGAGUGACGGUAAUGGGUAAAGAAGCACCGGCUAACUACGU
RNAcentral lists this ribosomal RNA (467 nucleotides) under uncultured bacterium. RNAcentral describes it as "partial 16S ribosomal RNA". It matches the Rfam family "Bacterial small subunit ribosomal RNA", at positions 28 to 506 of the family's 1533-position model. The record is from RNAcentral.